Molecule: ribosomal RNA, 553 nt
Filed under: uncultured Nitrososphaerota archaeon
Lineage: Archaea; Thermoproteati; Nitrososphaerota
Description: bacterial SSU rRNA
Rfam family: Archaeal small subunit ribosomal RNA
Source: RNAcentral
ACGGGGUGCAGCAGGCGCGAAACCUUUGCAAUGUGCGCAAGCACGACAAGGUUAAUCCGAGUGUUUCCUGCUAAAGGAAUCUUUUGUUAGUCGUAAAACCACUGAUGAAUAAGGGGUGGGCAAGUUCUGGUGUCAGCCGCCGCGGUAAAACCAGCACCUCAAGUGGUCAGGAGGAUUAUUGGGCCUAAAGCAUCCGUAGCUGGCUCUGCAAGUUUUCGGUUAAAUCCAUUUGCUUAACAAAUGGGCUGCCGAAAAUACUACAUAGCUAGGGAGUGGGAGAGGUAGACGGUAUUCGGUAGGAAGGGGUAAAAUCCUUUGAUCUAUUGAGGACCACCUAUGGCGAAGGCAGUCUACCAGAACACGUUCGACGGUGAGGGAUGAAAGCUGGGGGAGCAAACCGGAUUAGAUACCCGGGUAGUCCCAGCUGUAAACGAUGCAGACUCGGUGAUGCACUGGCCUGUGGCCAGUGCAGUGCCGCAGGGAAGCCGUUAAGUUUGCCGCCUGGGAAGUACGUACGCAAGUAUGAAACUUAAAGGAAUUGGCGGGGGAGCAC